CCUACGGGCGGCAGCAGUGGGGAAUAUUGGGCAAUGGGCGCAAGCCUGACCCAGCAACGCCGCGUGAAGGAAGAAGGCUUUCGGGUUGUAAACUUCUUUUCUGAGGGACGAAGAAACUGACGGUACCUCAGGAAUAAGCCACGGCUAACUACGUGCCAGCAGCCGCGGUAAUACGUAGGUGGCAAGCGUGAUCCGGAUUUGUUGGGUGUAAAGGGCGUGUAGGCGGGACGGCAAGUCAGAUGUGAAAACUCCGCGCUCAACCCUGAGCCUGCAUUUGAAACUGUUUUUCUUGAGUGCUGGAGAGGCAAUCGGAAUUCGGGGUGUAGCGGUGAAAUGCGUAGAUAUACGGAGGAACACCAGUGGCGAAGGCGGAUUGCUGGACAGUAACUGACGCUGAGGCGCGAAAGCGUGGGGAGCAAACAGGAUUAGAUACCCUAGUAGUC
RNAcentral lists this ribosomal RNA (443 nucleotides) under uncultured bacterium. Its description in RNAcentral is "partial 16S ribosomal RNA". It matches the Rfam family "Bacterial small subunit ribosomal RNA", at positions 338 to 795 of the family's 1533-position model. The record is from RNAcentral.